RNAcentral lists this long non-coding RNA (347 nucleotides) under Mytilus galloprovincialis (Mediterranean mussel). The record is from RNAcentral. Lineage: Eukaryota; Metazoa; Mollusca; Bivalvia; Mytilida; Mytilidae.
AAAAAUAUUUAAAUAAAAUUGAGAAUGGAAAUGGGGAAUGUGUCAAAGAGACAACAACCCGACCAAAUAAAAAACAACAGCAGAAGGUCACCAACAGGUCUUCAAUGUAGCGAGAAAUUCCCGCACCCGGAGGCGUCCUUCAGCUGGCCCCUAAACAAAUAUAUACUAGUUCAGUGAUAAUGAACGCCAUACUAAUUUCCAAAUUGUACACAAGAAACUAAAAUUAAAAUAAUACAAGACUAAGAAAGGCCAGAGGCUACUGACUUGGGACAGGCGCAAAAAUGCGGCGGGGUUAAACAUGUUUGUGAGAUCUCAACCCUCCCCCUUUACCUCUAACCAAUGUAGAA